Molecule: ribosomal RNA, 301 nt
Filed under: uncultured bacterium
Lineage: Bacteria
Description: partial 16S ribosomal RNA
Rfam family: Bacterial small subunit ribosomal RNA
Source: RNAcentral
CAGUCGCCGCGGGAAUACAGAGGAUGCAAGCGUUAUCCGGAAUGAUUGGGCGUAAAGCGUCUGUAGGUGGCUUUUCAAGUCCGCCGUCAAAUCCCAGGGCUCAACCCUGGACAGGCGGUGGAAACUACCAAGCUGGAGUACGAUAGGGGCAGAGGGAAUUUCCGGUGGAGUGGUGAAAUGCGUUGAGAUCGGAAAGAACACCAACGGCGAAAGCACUCUGCUGGGCCGACACUGACACUGAGAGACGAAAGCUAUGGGAGCAAAUAGGAUUAGAUACCCCCGUAGUCCCUGUCUCUUAUAC